AUUGAACGCUGGCGGCAGGCCUAACACAUGCAAGUCGAAUGGUAACAGGAAACAGCUUGCUGUUUCGCUGACGAGUGGCGGACGGGUGAGUAAUGUCUGGGAAACUGCCUGAUGGAGGGGGAUAACUACUGGAAACGGUAGCUAAUACCGCAUAACGUCGCAAGACCAAAGAGGGGGACCUUCGGGCCUCUUGCCAUCAGAUGUGCCCAGAUGGGAUUAGCUAGUAGGUGGGGUAACGGCUCACCUAGGCGACGAUCCCUAGCUGGUCUGAGAGGAUGACCAGCCACACUGGAACUGAGACACGGUCCAGACUCCUACGGGAGGCAGCAGUGGGGAAUAUUGCACAAUGGGCGCAAGCCUGAUGCAGCCAUGCCGCGUGUAUGAAGAAGGCCUUCGGGUUGUAAAGUACUUUUAGCGGGGAGGAAGGGAGUAAAGUUAAUACCUUUGCUCAUUGACGUUACCCGCAGAAGAAGCACCGGCUAACUCCGUG
Molecule: ribosomal RNA, 490 nt
Filed under: uncultured bacterium
Lineage: Bacteria
Description: partial 16S ribosomal RNA
Rfam family: Bacterial small subunit ribosomal RNA
Source: RNAcentral